RNAcentral lists this long non-coding RNA (3612 nucleotides) under Homo sapiens (human). RNAcentral describes it as "HSALNT0347136". Lineage: Eukaryota; Metazoa; Chordata; Mammalia; Primates; Hominidae. The record is from RNAcentral.
GCUGAAACUUUGAUCUUGAACUUCCCAGCCUCAAGACCUGUACUUCUGUCCUCUGUGGUGGAGAAUAAAGGGAAGCCAGGAAGUGUGGGUCAGGAUCUCUGGGAAACUGCUGGCUUCUAGCAAGGCUGGCACGGGUGUGUUCCCAUGGAAGGAAAGAACCAAAGGUGCUGCUUACCCUUGGAACUCAGCUGCUAUUUUGUAAGGAAGUCCAUGCCUCUGCUAGAUCUGCAGCCAAUAGCCAGCCUCACCACCAGAUGUGUAAAUGAGCCUCAGAUGAUGCCAGCCUCACCCUUCGAGUCUUCCAGUUGAGGCCCCAUUGUGCAGAAGACAUAAGGCAUUCCCACAUGCCCUGUCUGAACUUCUGACCCACAAACACUAUCAGAGAUAAUAAAUGAUCAUUGUUUUAAGUUACUAAGUUUUAAGUUACUUAAUUAUGCAGCAAUAAAUAGAUAAUCAAUACAAAGGCGCAUACUGUUCCAUGUAUAAAUGUCUACCGUAUCUUUCAUGCCUUCUUCCAACCCUAACUUGUAACACUUUUGUAGCAAUUAGUGCCCAAUUUGCACAUGAAAUACAAAUCAUAUUUCUGUAAAUGGUCAUGAGGGUUAAAUAAAGAUCAUACAUGAAAGAGCCAGGCAGGGUGUUCAGUAAUAUGAAGUACUCAGUAAAUGUUAACUACACACGAAUUUGCUGAAACAUGUUUCUUAUGUUUAAAUAAUGAAUUUGCUUUUCCUUGUAUAUCUUGCCUGUAUGACACAAAAGGACACAGUCUGAUCACAUCAGUUCAGCAAAGGCAAGCCUCAUCAGUUGGUAAAAAAAAUUGGUUUAAUGAAUUGCAAUCACACAAACAAAACUACAACUUACUUGAUUAAGUUUUCCACCUCUCAUCUGGUUUCUCUACCUUAUAUUUGUAUUCUGAUUCUGUCCUUUUAUUGGUUUUCCUUUCCUUUUAAGUCCUUGGAUGAAUUUUUAAAUAUCUAUUGCAUUUUUUUAUGUGGCCAAAGUCUCUUGAAUAAGGUCUUAUUGAAAUUUCUUCAAUGGCUGGAUAAAAUUGCAUCCCAACUCAAUUUUUGCAUCCUGGCACAGGAAGUGGUCUCAAGUAUUGCAGAACUGGAUGGAGACUCGUAGGCCCUCUGGGCAGGCUAAUACUUUGCUUUCCCAUCACAUGGAUAUUCAUAAAAUAUUUGUUAGAUGUUAUGUAGGAGUGAGGCUAGAGAAGGCUAGCAGGACCAGGGCUUACUCACAUUCUGGCUCUGUAAGACAGUGAUCUGGCUGUGAUGGCCACAGUUGAUUGGCUGUCUUCUCAGCCCUCCGCAAAUGCACUCAUCGGGAGCAGGUUAACCUUCUCAAGUAGAGGAUGUUCCUGUGUUCUGUCAAGGAUAUACAGGACACAGUCUGUGCCGAUGCUUUUUUCGUGCAUGAAACAUAUCAUCUUAAGAAGAUUUGCAAGUCCGUUUGUGUGUAGUACAGCAGCAAGGAUCGUAGACCUGGUGUCAGCAAGCCUGGACACACAGUUUCUCUGAGCCUUUCAAAUGAAGGUCUUGGAUAAAAUCACUUUUAAAGCUCUUGCCUGCUAUAUUAUUUCAUCUCUUUCUUAUAUGAGCUGCAUGAUAAAUGAGUAUAGAAAAAAGAAUACACAUGCUUUACAAGAGAAAUUCAAAAGAAUUAACCUAUAUAUCCUUUUAGGUUAAUUAAAAUAGAAUUCUGACUUACGAGGUUUCCAUCUAAUUCAGAGCUAAUACUUUAAAGUUUUUACAAAAUCUUCGUAAAACAAAACCAGUGAGUAAUAUAUUACCAACUAUAGGAUUCAUGAAAAAAUGGGAGUCAAAUGAAGCACUGCCACAUUGAUCAAAUCAUUGUACAAUUUUUAGAAAUAACAGCAUGUGAACCUUGAUGUCACUGCUGCAAAUGCAUUUCUAUAUUUUGUGUAUAGUUUUGAAAAAUUUGUAGCCUGAUGCUACAAAUAUGUAAUAUAAUUUCCUUCAGAAAAUAAUAUUUAUAAUUAUCAGUACCCAAUGAUUGCAUGCAAGAGAAGUUUACUUGUUGGCUGAAUUACAUUUAUUGAGAAGUAAGAAAAUAAAAGAUCCUGGAACGAUCACUACAGUAACGAAACGGCUGAGUUGCCCACAGUUAAACUGCUGGGACUACCAGUUGGAAAUCAGACAAUGAAGAAGGAGAAGACAUGAGUUCUAAUAAGGUGAAAAUUGUUCUUCAGGGAAAAUGGAAUAUUAAACAUAGUUUGGUUUUGCAAACACUCUAGGUUAUGUAAAAUGUAAAGAUGAAGCUAGAAAUUCAAGUCUGGAAAGAACUAUAGAUACCUAGAUACACUGAGCUUUGACUACAGUGGCCUAUUUAUACAUAGCUACUGGUUACUUCCACUGAAUUGUAUUUACGAUUUAAAAUUUAUGAGAUUUUAAUGAAUUAAAUAAAAGUCUGUGGCUGUAGAAAAGCUAUUUCUCUUGUCCUGAAAAUGCUCUGAUUGCUUUAAUUUUCUCACAACUCCCUUUUUUUCUUUUCACUCUUCUCUCUCUCUGCCCCAUUCUUUCUCUCAAGGUUGGGGUGUUCUUUCUUGUGUAAGCUGCUGCAUAGAGGUGAGAUAUAGGAUAUAUAGAGAGUGCUGAUUAAUUUAUAAAAUCUUGAAGUUCCUUUCCAUUGUUAAUUUAUUUUAAAAGUUAUUUCAUCAUAUUAAUGAAAAUUAAAUAAUAUUCUGCAAAAUAACUGGCUUGUAUUUGUCAAAAAUUCAAGUUCAAGAAAGGCAACGAAAAACUGAGGAGCCAUUUGAAAUUGCAGAAGACACAAGAGUUGACAACGAAAUGUAGUCCACCUGAUUUGAGAUUUCAUCCUGUACUGGAAUAUUUAGAAGAAGGAGCACAAGAAAGAGGACACCCUUAACAGAAAAGUUAUUCAUUUCCAAUUUAAGACUCAUCAAGGGAUAAAAUCUGAAAACUUAUAAAGGAUACUUAUUACAGAAAAAAUUUAAGGGGAAACUGGUGCUGUGGAGAGACCCAUGUGGAAAGGAACUGAGGACUCCCGGCAAAAGUCACCAAGGACCGAGGUUGCUGACAGCUGCAUGUGAACUCGGAAGCAGAUCAAUCCUUGCCCAAGCCCACACUUUGUCUACAGCCUUGGUGAGAGACCCUGAGCCAGGGAUGCACAUCCAAGCUGCACCCAAACUCUUGACCCACAGAAACUGUGAGAUGAUGAAUGUGUUUAAGCCCCCAUAUUGUGGAGUCAUUUAUUACACAGCAAUAGAUGGCUAAGAUGAGCACUAUUUUUAUCCCCUUGUGAGUUCAUGGCUUGGUCUCCCUACCUCCCACUGACUAAAUGUGGCUAAAGCAAAAUCCAAUAACCAGCUGUCUCUGAACAAUAUUAACUGAAUGCCUACUGUUUACUAGCAUGACAGGAAUUCAAAAGAGUUUAUGAGGGAAAUGGCCACAGUGAGGCAGAGGAUUUACAUGCUGGGAAGGCUUCAUCCUGGCAAAUUACCCAGGGCAGACCUUCCCUCCUUCACUGUCUAAAAUAUCCAACUCUUAUAGUUUCAAAUCCCCAUCUCUUAUUGUCUGUCUUAUAGAAACCACCCUGACUCCUCAAAUACAGUCACUCCAUUCCCUAUGA